AAAUGAAUAGACGGGGGCCCGCACAAGCGGUGGAGCAUGUGGUUUAAUUCGACGCAACGCGAAGAACCUUACCAGGGAUUGACAUCCCCUGACCGGAUAUGAAAGUAUCCUUUUCUCUUCGGAGGACAGGGAGACAGGUGGUGCAUGGUUGUCGUCAGCUCGUGUCGUGAGAUGUUGGGUUAAGUCCCGCAACGAGCGCAACCCCUACAUUUAGUUGCUAACGGUUUGGCCGAGCACUCUAGACGAACUGCCGUUGACAAAACGGAGGAAGGUGGGGAUGACGUCAAAUCAUCAUGCCCCUUAUACCCUGGGCUACACACGUGCUACAAUGGUUCGUACAGAGGGCAGCGACUCGGCGACGGGAAGCGAAUCCCUUAAAGCGAAUCUCAGUUCGGAUUGCAGGCUGCAACCCGCCUGCAUGAAGUCGGAAUCGCUAGUAAUCGCAGGUCAGCAUACUGCGGUGAAUACGUUCCCGGGCCUUGUACACACCGCCCGU
RNAcentral lists this ribosomal RNA (496 nucleotides) under uncultured bacterium. RNAcentral describes it as "bacterial SSU rRNA". It matches the Rfam family "Bacterial small subunit ribosomal RNA", at positions 903 to 1397 of the family's 1533-position model. The record is from RNAcentral.